GGGCGAGAGGUGGGGGAAGGGGCCGGCGCGGAACAACAGCUCCAGGCCGGGGCCGCCCCCUGUGUGCCCUCUGCGCUCAGCCUCGCCGGCCUCCCCCAGGGUUUGGGCAGCGGCGGGCCACCUCAGAGGACGCGGGCUCCUCCUUACGAGAAGCUGUCACAUGUCCACGAAGUCCCUGCCCGGGGACGCCCCGCCUCUGCUGCCCGAGGUUCGCCGGGCCGUUCGCAGCUUUCGGAGCAUCGGUCCCGGGCUGCUCCGGGCUCCGGGCUCCGGCAACACGGGGAGCCUUUUUCGCCCUGCAGCGCCACUCGCCCCGGGGCCUGGCCGAGCCCCUCCCUCCCAGCCGGUCCCGGCCUCUGCGGGCGGCGACUCCGCAGGGCGGCGGCCCGUCGCAGCCUGCAGGCCCCGGCGGGGAGGGAAGGGCGGGCGGCAUUUUUCAGUCCUCAGGAGAAGCGCCUGCGGGUUCGGAAGCUCCAGCCCUCGGGCCUAAAGCCCCGGCUGCCGCCCAGUUCACAAGCAGACAAAGGGAGCCGAGGAGCAGCGCCCGCCUGCCCCCGCCGCCGCCUGCACCUGGCUCUCGUCCCCUCACGAAUCCUCGCAGGAACCCUGCAGCGGGUGUAUCGAUAUUCCAGUCCUGGCAAUGAGGAAACCAAGAUGGAGGGAGGCUCCUGAGUGCAGGGGUCACGUCUUGACUGUAACUGCAGCAUUUAGCUGAAAUGCCAAGGUCCAGCUCCCAGGAUGCCAGCGUUCCCCAGGAACUCCACGGGGAAACCACCCAACUAGAGUUGGGAAGUUAAAAGAAGAUUAGCUUUGAGCUAACAUCUGCCACCAAUCCUCCUCUU
Non-coding RNA from Equus caballus (horse), 842 nucleotides. The record is from RefSeq and is a predicted model, not a curated record. NCBI's taxonomy places the organism in Eukaryota, Metazoa, Chordata, Mammalia, Perissodactyla, Equidae.